CUUUGUAUGUGUACUGAUGUAGGACAACUUAGGGGAUGACCUACAAUAGCAUGGUGGGAGGAAUUGGCGAAUAGCUAAUUUGUUGCCUUGCUGUUCUAUUGCAGAAAACAGGGCAGAAGCAAACACUUUAAUGGAUUGAAGGAAAGAGGGGAGCUUUCUAGGUCCAUCCUAGGGUUUAGAGAUAGUGUUUGUUGUUAGAAAAAAGUUUCAAGGGGUUUUAGGAUUAAAGGAGAAGGUUUGAUGUUGACUUGAAAUUUAAUUCAGGCAAUAAUACAUAUAUUCACAGGUUUUUGAAGAUAGGGAAAGACAUGAGAAGUAAAGGAGUUGAGAGAUGAAGAGGGAGAGGGGAAUAGAAGACACUAGAGGCAGGGCGAGAGAGGGAGGAGAGAAAUCACUUUCACAAACUCAUACAAUACAACCCAUGACCACCCUUUCGUUUGCC
RNAcentral lists this long non-coding RNA (442 nucleotides) under Phoenix dactylifera (date palm). Its description in RNAcentral is "long non-coding RNA (PDAC_LNC016838)". The record is from RNAcentral. Lineage: Eukaryota; Viridiplantae; Streptophyta; Magnoliopsida; Arecales; Arecaceae.